AUUGAACGCUGGCGGCAGGCCUAACACAUGCAAGUCGAGCGGAUGAAGGGAGCUUGCUCCUGGAUUCAGCGGCGGACGGGUGAGUAAUGCCUAGGAAUCUGCCUGGUAGUGGGGGAUAACGUCCGGAAACGGGCGCUAAUACCGCAUACGUCCUGAGGGAGAAAGUGGGGGAUCUUCGGACCUCACGCUAUUAGAUGAGCCUAGGUCGGAUUAGCUAGUUGGUGGGGUAAAGGCCUACCAAGGCGACGAUCCGUAACUGGUCUGAGAGGAUGAUCAGUCAAACUGGAACUGAGACACGGUCCAGACUCCUACGGGAGGCAGCAGUGGGGAAUAUUGGACAAUGGGCGAAAGCCUGAUCCAGCCAUGCCGCGUGUGUGAAGAAGGUCUUCGGAUUGUAAAGCACUUUAGGUUGGGAGGAAGGGCAGUAAGUUAAUACCUUGCUGUUUUGACGGUACCAACAGAAUAAGCACCGGCUAACUUCGUG
Molecule: ribosomal RNA, 484 nt
Filed under: uncultured bacterium
Lineage: Bacteria
Description: partial 16S ribosomal RNA
Rfam family: Bacterial small subunit ribosomal RNA
Source: RNAcentral